RNA transcript from Neogale vison (American mink), 3749 nucleotides. It is a transcript of the gene named glutamate-cysteine ligase modifier subunit, with no coding region annotated. Lineage: Eukaryota; Metazoa; Chordata; Mammalia; Carnivora; Mustelidae. The record is from RefSeq and is a predicted model, not a curated record. The transcript is spliced from 8 exons.
CCGCGGGCGGGCGUGGGUCCCGCUGCUCUCUCGGCGCCCCGCCCCGCCCGGCCCCGCCGUGGGACGGGUAACGGUUACCAAGCACUUUCUCAGGCGCGAUUUCUGCUUAGUCAUUGUCUUCCAGGAAACGGUCCCUUCAGUUGGGAGUCAACUCUCGGGCGGCCGCCGCAGUAGCAGCAGCAGCCGCCGCGGCCAGCGCGUCCUUCCCUUCCGCCACCGUCCGGCCUCCCUCGGUCCCGAGCGCAGGCCGAGGUCCCGCCGCGUGGGGCGGCCAGCCUCGCGCUCGGCUCUCCGGCCUCGGGCACCGCGUCCUGCGGGGCGGCCUCCUUCCUCGCCUGCGGCCCCGUCGCCGCCUGGCCCGCCUCCGUCGGCCGCUGCCAUGGGCACGGACAGCCGCGCGGCCGGGGCGCUGCUCGCGCGGGCCCGUACCCUGCACCUGCAGACGGGGAACCUGCUCAACUGGGGUCGCCUGCGGAAGAAGUGCCCGUCCACGCACAGCGAGGAGCUUCGAGAUUGUAUCCAAAAGACCUUGAAUGAGUGGAGUUCCCAAAUCAGCCCUGAUUUGGUCAGGGAAUUUCCAGAUGUCUUGGAAUGUACCGUAUCUCAUGCAGUAGAAAAGAUAAAUCCUGAUGAAAGAGAAGAAAUGAAAGUUUCUGCAAAACUCUUCAUUGUAGGAUCAAACUCUUCAUCAUCAAUGAGAAAUGCAGUUGACAUGGCCUGUUCAGUUCUUGGAGUCGCACAGCUGGAUUCUGUGAUCAUUGCUUCACCUCCUAUUGAAGAUGGAGUUAAUCUCUCCUUGGAGCAUUUGCAGCCUUACUGGGAAGAAUUAGAAAACUUGGUUCAGAGCAAAAAGAUUAUUGCGAUAGGUACCUCCGAUCUAGACAAAACUCAGUUGGAACAGCUGUAUCAGUGGGCACAGGUAAAACCAAAUAGUAACCAAGUUAAUCUUGCCUCCUGCUGUGUGAUGCCACCUGACUUGACUGCAUUUGCUAAACAAUUUGACAUACAGCUAUUGACUCAUAAUGAUCCGAAAGAACUGCUUUCUGAAGCCAGUUUCCAAGAAGCUCUUCAGGAAAGCAUCCCUGACAUCCAGGCGCAGGAGUGGGUGCCCCUGUGGCUACUGCGGUACUCUGUCAUUGUUAAAAGCAGAGGAAUUAUCAAAUCCAAAGGCUACAUUUUACAAGCUAAAAGAAGGGGUUCUUAACUAAGACUUAGGAUCGUAACCUACUGACUUGUAUUUCCUUGAAUAUAAGAUAAAAUUGAGAUGUAUAAAAAUCAGUUACUGCUUGUAAAUGGUGUCAUGGAGGCUGAUAUUCUUCAGUUAUAUUUGACGUGUUAUCUGUCAAGUUUUGAAUACUUUUCUUGCCUCCAUAUCAGUUUACUCAUGUGUUUUCAUUAAACUAUUAUUUUCUAAUUGAAAUUGCCUAUAAAGAAAAUACUUGCAAUAUAUUUUUCCUUUAUUUUUAUGACUAAUAGAAAUGAAGAAAAAUUGUUGUUAGAUAUAUUUUGGGCUUAGGUAUCAGAGUAAUGUAUAUACAUAUUUUUUAUUUCCAAAAAUUAAUUAAUGGCUUCUUAUUCUAUAGUGUAACUAAGCAAUUUAAUUACAAUUAUAAAAACUGAAAUACUGGAAGAUAUUUUUUCUGUUAUUGAUAAGAUGAUUAUAUCCCAGAGUAACUGGAGUGGCUUGGAUCUACUAGUAGGAGAAACAAGAUUAUAGAUUCAUUUUGUGAAGGGGAUCAUGUGUGUAUGGAAUUUUAAAAUGAGUUUUUUGUAUGUUUCAUUUCUGUACCUUUAAUUUCUGUUAUUGAAUAACCAUUUUUUAAAAAAUGAUUUUUCAAGACUUGACAAAUUUCCAAGCUGGUGUUCACAUUUUUUUUUUUUUGUAAACUAUCAGAAUAUAGUGAAUGCCUUUCAAAUAUUUGAGGACUUAAUGUUUAAAAAGCCAUAAAAUAAAGAACAGUAAUACUACCAAAUAAUCGCUUAAAGCUGAAAGCUAAGUUAUCAGUAGUGUAUAUAUAACAGAUAUGUCUUCUGGGGAGAGGUGUAUCCAAUGACUCAAGUUAGAAAGAAUUUAUAUAAUUGGGUUUUUUUCCAGUAAACAUGAAAAGAAGCUACAGUCUAUUACAUUUCCAAAAUACACUGGAGCCUUACAUUAACACAAUGUACUGUAACUUAGAAUUUGUUCUGUAAUGAGUCUAUCUUACAUUCUCAUUCAAGAAACUGUAGUCACCAGAAGGACCAAGAUGUCUUAUAAAAUAUGUUCACAUGGUGUAAAUUUUGCAGACUAUAUUGUGCCCGUGUGCUAGAAGAGUAUCCAUUUAGAGAUAGCCAGUACUAGAUUGGAUCACAAAUAGCUAAUAAUUUUUCUGUUCUCAAAGAAGAUCUUUUAAACAGCUAUGUGUGGAAUGGGAAAUAAAGUUACUCUAUUUUGAAUGAAUGAGCAAACUUCUCCUUACCAGAGUCAACUAGUAACUCAGUUUUCAGUAAUAGGAGGUCUAAGAUUCAUUUAAUUACAUCUCAUUUUUGAACAAAUUUUCUUCCACCCAGCAUUUUCGGUCUUGGGGAAGUGAAAUGAUCAACAGUUCAUCUCUCUGCCAAUUGUACGUUUAGAGAAAUUUGAAGUUGUUUUAAUGAGAAUUUCAACCAUUUGUUUUCAUAAUCAAAUAUACCAACUUAUGAUUCUGAACAUAUUUUUAUAAAGGUAACUUCCUAAUAUACCAGAACUUAUAUACCUAUCAUUUCCCCAUAAAGUUGUUGAUGGGAUAUGUCAUAUUUUUGAAAACUGUGUAACAUAACUUUUGUUAAUAUUUUUAUAGUUUUCAGAAUUAGAAAUACACUUAGGACAGGAAAAUGUUUUCAUUAGAUAAUUCUACUUUUAUGUGUCUAUAAUGGUGUAUUAUAAAUUACAGGCAAAAUAUAAAGCAUUAAUAAAUAUUUAUAAUAGCCUUUAAUUUCACCUGUAUUUUGAGUAUUAUGAAUUACUUAAUUAAAAUAAAGUGUAUUGUAUAUUGUUUGAGUUGUUUGAAUAGUUGAAAGCAUCCUGGAGUAUUAUAUUGAUUUUGACCUAUUUUAAUUCAAAUUGAGUAUGAUUUGAAAAUAAAUUAUGAAUAAUUUUUAAAUAUCCAAGCCAUAAAGCUAUUCAUGCAUUCAUUCAAAGAUUUAUCAAAAACUUACUAUAUGCCAACAACUGUAAGAUAUUGGCAGACAGACACAAAUAAUAACCUCUGUCUUCAAGGAGCAUAUGGUAUAUGUGGUAGAGGGAGAGAGAUCUGUACAUGAACAGGAGCAGUAGAGGCCAUCUGUUAAUGAUCAAAGUGAGGGAAAGGGAUUGGGGGCAUAUAGAAGGAAGUGGGGCUAGGGAAUGUCUACUGCUAGGAGGCUCCCCUUGAAAAAAAUUAGCCUUAGAGUAGGAUGAAACGAUGAGUGGAUAUUCUGACAGAGACCUUUGUUUGCCUUGUUUGUAAAUAGGCUUUUACUGAAUAUGAACAAUUUAUAUGUAAACUUUAGAAAUUCAGUGAAAACACUUUCUUAAAGAGCUUGCCCUGUGGAUAGAAAAGUACCGCUUCUGUUGAGACAAGAGUAAGGUUGGAAACGUAAUAUUUUACCUUAAACAAAAAAAAGAGAGGCUAAAACCUAUCCAUAUCCCCCAAAUAGAAUAUGGCUGUUAUAGUCUCACUACCAGAAAAGCCAAACAAAACUUUAAUAUGUGUCUCUCAACAGUGAAUAAAUGUAUAAAAUGUCAUACAAGA